RNAcentral lists this ribosomal RNA (253 nucleotides) under uncultured bacterium. RNAcentral describes it as "partial 16S ribosomal RNA". It matches the Rfam family "Bacterial small subunit ribosomal RNA", at positions 524 to 776 of the family's 1533-position model. The record is from RNAcentral.
UACGUAGGGGGCUAGCGUUGUCCGGAAUCAUUGGGCGUAAAGCGCGUGUAGGCGGUCCGGUAAGUCCGCUGUGAAAGUCGGGGGCUCAACCCUCGAAAGCCGGUGGAAACUGUCGGGCUAGAGUACGGAAGAGGCGAGUGGAAUUCCUGGUGUAGCGGUGAAAUGCGCAGAUAUCAGGAGGAACACCAAUUGCGAAGGCAGCUCGCUGGGACGUUACUGACGCAGAGACGCGAAAGCGUGGGGAGCAAACAGG